RNAcentral lists this non-coding RNA (21 nucleotides) under Caenorhabditis elegans. The record is from RNAcentral. Lineage: Eukaryota; Metazoa; Nematoda; Chromadorea; Rhabditida; Rhabditidae.
UUUGCUUUGGAUGUAUGAUAA